RNAcentral lists this ribosomal RNA (436 nucleotides) under Perochaeta cuirassa. RNAcentral describes it as "partial 16S ribosomal RNA". It matches the Rfam family "Bacterial large subunit ribosomal RNA", at positions 1914 to 2561 of the family's 2925-position model. The record is from RNAcentral. Lineage: Eukaryota; Metazoa; Arthropoda; Insecta; Diptera; Sepsidae.
AAAAUUUAAAUGGCCGCAGUAUCCUAACUGUGCAAAGGUAGCAUAAUCAUUAGUCUUUUAAUUGAAGGCUGGUAUGAAUGGUUGGACGAGGUAUUAGCUGUUUCAAGUAAAUUUAUUAUAGAAUUUUAUUUUUUAGUCAAAAAGCUAAAAUUUAGUUAAAAGACGAGAAGACCCUAUAAAUCUUUAUUUUAUUAAUUAUUUUAAUUAUAAAGAUAAAUUUUAUUAUAAUAAUUAAUAAAAUUUUAUUGGGGUGAUAUUAAAAUUUAUAGAACUUUUAAUUUUUAUUAAACAUUAAUUAAUGAGUAAUUGAUCCGUUAUUAACGAUUAAAAAUUUAAGUUACUUUAGGGAUAACAGCGUAAUUUUUUUGGAGAGUUCUUAUCGAUAAAAAAGAUUGCGACCUCGAUGUUGGAUUAAGAAAAAUUUUAGGUGUAGCCG